This 5582-nucleotide long non-coding RNA is filed under the name Homo sapiens (human). RNAcentral describes it as "HSALNT0029746". The stretch from base 1454 to 1566 matches the Rfam family "Y RNA". Lineage: Eukaryota; Metazoa; Chordata; Mammalia; Primates; Hominidae. The record is from RNAcentral.
CCGAGUGUCAGACCUGAGCAGCCAAUCUCCGGCAGACGUGACGUCAGGCGGCAGAUCCUAAUUGGGGAAGGCGUGCGAGGAGCCCGAAGGCGCGCCGCCACCCUCCACAUCCACUGGGGUUGCCCCCGUGGGUCGCCGAGGCGGAGGUCCCCACGCCCCGGUCCCGUGUCCCGGGAGAGGACAAAGCGCUCAGCAAAGUUACUGAACGAUCCUGUCCUUUCAGAAGCCCCAUGCGUUUGAUAUUGUUUGGAAGCCCCGGCAUUUUCUUAUCCGUGUUUGCUGUGAUACUUGCUGCGGGGUUGAAUUCAGAUACCAAAUCGGGCCCCAGAAAGGGCUGUCGGGGCGCGCUGAGGUCUCCAUCGGAAACCGUUUAGGUGGCUCCCUGUGGGGCUGUAAAGUCCCCGUGGCUGCUUCUCGGUGUGCAGCCUCUGGUACCCUACUUCUCGCUUGGCAGGGAUGGGAGUGCAGGGCGGGCAGCAGAGGGCGCCCGCGUGGGACGGGGAGAACCGCCCAGGGACAACCGCAGAGACAGCCCUGUCCCUGGGCCUUUAGGGUAGGACUAGAGUUCAGGAUCCCUGAAAACCCUAAGCCAUUAUUGUUUUUAAUAAAGGCGAAUCAGUUCACGGGACCGUAAUCCGACCGGGUCACCCAACUUGGAGAUGACCUGACCCAUUAAGAGAGAUGGCAGAAUGUACCAGGGAUAGAGUCUGGGGGGUCAUAGUGCUCUUUGGGGAAAACCAUGAAAUAAUGACAUAUUUACUUUUAGCAUUUGAAUUCAAAACAAUGUCGCAUGAUUUUAUUAUGUGAAUGCAAUAGAAAGUCCACAGUCAUAGCAGUCUUCCUCUAUUUUUUUUUUAAGCCUUUAACUUAAGAAUGAUGGUGUGUUUCCAAGGCUUUGGUUGUUCUUGUUCUUAUUUACUUGUGGCUUAUCCUUUUGUUUUGUUGCCUGCAUGCAUUGGCUAGUAGACAAUUGGUAGCAGGUGACAAUGGUUUAAGAAGCAUUAAUGGAAAAAUAAUUUAACCCUAAGGAAACUUAACCCAUUAAUUACUUUUUUUUUCUGCACAUUGGAGAAAGACCUCCAAUAUUUGAUUUGGCAGGCAGGGCCUCAGUCCAGCUGCCUGAGCACUAGCUGCUUGUGAGAACACAGUUUGAGAGGCACUGUCAUGGAAUAAAUAGCGCCGGACUGGAGGGAAGAGCCCUCAGGUCCAGUCCUAACACUGCCAUUAGUAAGCUGAAGGACCACAGGCAGCUCACCUCUCCUUCUGCACCUCCACUUCCUCCUCUGUCACAGAGGAAUUGGAUGAAAAGUCCCUGCCAGCCCUAGCAGUCUGUGUCUCUAAGAACAUCCAGGGUCCUUCUGGACAGGAUCAUUCUAGGUCAGCCCCUGAGCCAGGCCAAAGUGAACUAGCUGAGAAGAUUGAGGAUUGAGGUGAGUCACAAGGCUGCCUCCCAGGUUGGUUCAAAGGUAAUGAGUUACCUCAAUUGAUUGUUCACAGUCAGUUACGGAUCCAAUUCCUUGUUCUACUCUUUCCCGUCUUCUUGAUACUGUACUUGACUAGUCUUAAGAAAAGUUUAAAGAAAAAAAAAAAAAGAAGAAGCUGUCUCUCAGCACCAGGUUCUGUAUGAAGGAUACAACAGAAGCUAAUAUCCACCGCAUCUCUGAAGGAGGCACUGAGGCUGUGGAAAUACAAAGGAUCACAAGGCAUAAAGCCCUUGUCUUUAAGAAACUUCGUGUCUUGUUAGGGAGAGAAGAUGUAAAUGAAAGCUUAAAAAUGAUAACAACUUAAUGAAGCAACACUUUGAGAUCAUGAUAGACCUCUCACAAGGGAGGACCUGAUUUGUAUGAUGCCUGUAUCAUAGUACAGCCCACAAUUCUUUGUCAUCUUAUGGAAAAUUCACCAACAUGUAGGGAAAAUACUUCCUACCUGCAACUCAGAUCAGUUCACAGAGCUCUUACCUCUCAGGUAGGGAUAAUGUAACAGCAGAUGAAAUGGUUGGAGGUGGGGAGGAGGGUGAUUAGCAUAGCUACAACAUUCUGCAGAGCCAGGACAGGAGAGGAGAGAUGUCAGACAGAGGAAAGCUCAGGAAAGAGUAAAGGACAGCAUCCCCAACAGGACCAGCCUCUACCUGUCUUCAGUGGUGGUCACUCCCAGUCCCCAGAUGGACAGAUGGCAAGCAUUAAAGCUGCUUUUGGGCAAUAAGUGGCAGCUACCUGUGGAGGGCACAGCCUGGAUGGGGACUCUAGGGGGCUGGGCUCUACCUGCUGCUUUACUUCUGUAUUAGUAUGUUCUCAUGCUGCUAAUACGUACCCGAGACUGGUUAAUUUCUAAAGGAAAGAAGUUUAAUUGACUCACAGUUCCGCAGGGCUGGGGAGGCCUCAGGAAACUUACAAUCAUGGCAGAAGGGGAAGGCAAACACGUCCUUCUUCACAUGGCGGCAGCAAGGAGAAGUGCCGAAGCAAAAGAGGGGAAAGCCCCUUAAAAAACCAUCUGAUCUCCUGAGAGCUCACUAUCAGGAGAACAGCAUGAGGGUAACCGCCCCCGUGAUUUAAUUACCUCCCACCGGCUCCCUCCCACGACACGUGGAUUACAAUCCAAGACGAGAUUUGGGAAGGGACGCAGCCAAACCAUAUCAACUUCCCGUGGAAACUUGAGCAAGACAUUUCACCUCUCUGAGCCUCAGUUUCCAGAAGGCCUGGGACUCUGCCUGAGAUCCUAGUGUUUGGGGGAGAAAUGACCUUAACCAGGCCCUUUGGCUCUGCAGAAAAAUGUUUUUUAACCAUUAAAAAAUGCAGAAUGCAGUUUUCCUCUCAACCCACAGCAAUGGCGAGGUGGGCAUUUCACACCAAUCUUUAACCCAAUUACAACCUGCCUUAUGACAGAUUUGGAUAUAUCACAAUCAGAUCAUCUCUGAAACAAAACCACAGGAAAAAAACAAAAAAAAAAACAAAAAAAAAAAAAAACCUCUAGUGUGAGGCUGGGCACCAUGGCUCACACCUGUAAUCCCAGCACUUUGGGAGGCCAAGGCAGGCAGAUUACUUGAGGUCAGGAGUUUGAGACCAGCCUGGGCAACAUGGUGAAACCCCAACUCUGAAAAAAAUAAAAAUAGGCCAGGUGCAGUGGCUCACACCUGUAAUCCCAGCACUUCGGGAGGCCAAGGCAGGCAGUUUACUUGAGGUCAGGAGUUUGAGAACAGCCUGGCCAACAUGGUGAAACCUCGUCUCUACUAAAAAUACGAAAAUUAGCCGGGCAUGGUAGCACAUGCCUGUAAUCCCAGCUACUCCGGAGGCUAAAGCAGGAGAAUCACUUGAACCCUGCAGGUGGAAGUUGCAGUGAGCCAAGAUUGUGUCACUGUACUCCAGCCUGGCAACAAAGCGAGACUCCAUCUCAAAAAAAUAAUAAGACUAAAACUAAAAAAAAUUUUUUAAAUACAAAAAUAAAUCUCUAGUGUGAAUGUUAACCCAUCCGUCUACACAUUAGUGUAUGUGUGUAUGCACACAAUUAAUAUGGAAAUAUACACAUGAGCAAGCAGCCCGACUCUGUAGUUGGGAGACUCCAGCAAAAUCACAGGUUUCCACAUAAGUCUCUUGCUAUUUACGUAACUAGCAAGAUAAUCCUUGAAAAACCUGUUAUGCACCCCAUGUACUAUCAUCUGAGAUGGUCACUCAUCCCAAACACUGAACUCACUAUUAUUCUGAAGGUGAAAGCCCAGUUUCUGUCAGCCAUGAGGAUGGGCCUUUGCCAAUUCUAGACCCAGUUUAAUGCUAUGGAUGCUGGACUCAAACCCCCCUAGAGUUCAAGGUCCAUUUAUGUUGGCAGUACACAACUUCCUGGUUCAAAAAACAAGCCUUUAAAGAUCUCAUAAAACUUCUUGGACUUCAGAUGGUUUUUACAAAACAAUACUCAGAUGAGCUAAGUGUAAAUGAAUCAGAAAAGAGGAUUAUGUUUCCCAUAAAAACUCAUGAGUUUGAGGAUUAGGAGAAGAAAGAAAGGCUGGCAAAUGCCAAACAUUUUAAAGCGCUUUGAGACCAUUAGUCAAACUCAAAGCAUGGCCAGUUUCCCUCAUCUUUACACUUUAUGAGUUUUGUAAUUGAAAAUCUUUUCCUACAUUUAAGAUCAGCUACAAAUCAAAUUUAGUGGCUGCCUAUGAUCAGAAGAGCAUCCAGCCAUGUUUUCUUCCAGGCAAGCAUUUCAUGGAGCUCCUUUUAGUCCUCUUUUAGUUUCAUCAAGAAAUUCUUAGAAAGAAAAUGGGAGGGGAGAAGGAAAAGAAAUGAGAAGCCAAUAGGCUGUAGAUAAAAGGAAGAGAGAGAAAGAGCAAGAGCAAGAGAGAGACUGAGGGAAAGGAAAGUGAGAGGAGAGGAAGCAGGAGAGAGAGGGUGAGAAGGGAAAGACAGAAAGGCAGAAAGAAAAGCAGAAAGACGGAUAGAGGCAAAGAAGGAAGAGGAAUGAAUGGAGAAAGGGGGAAGGAAGCAGAAAGCAAUGAAUGAGAAAGGGAGCAGACAGAGAUGUAGAUGGAGAAAAUGAAAAAAUGAAAGGAGAGAAUUUUAAACAGAAUCUACGGCUCCAUUUCCUCAGGCUGCUCAUUAGGAUUCUGGCAGCCUUUUCUGAACAUCAGCUAGCUGUAACCUGAACAUCAGUUUGUCCAGAUUUGGGCUAGAAUUAAAUCUGCAACCUUAUUAGGUGCUAGCACAGUGUGGCUGGCUGCCCCAUACCUCACACAAAGUGGUAGGGACAGGAAGUCUCGUGUUCUCCUACACAAGCAGCAGGCCAAGAAUGGAAUCUUCACCUCAUGACUGCCCAAAAAUAGGUAGCUUAUUCACUCACACAGUCCUGUUUUGUAUUUUUAACCAUUUCAUCAAAAGGUAGGGGUGGGGGGCCAGGCGCGGUGGCUCACACCUAUAAUCCCAACACUUUGGGAGGCGGAGGCGGGUGGAUCACUUGAGGUCAGGAGUUCGAGACCAGCCUGGCCAACAUGGUGAAACCCUGUCUCUACUAAAAAAAAAAUAAAAUAAAAUAGAAAAAUUAGGCCGGAUGUUGUGGUGGGCGCCUGUCAUCCCAGCUACUUGAGAGGCUGAAGCAGGAGAAUCACUCAAACCUGGGAGGCAGGGGUUGCAGUGAGUCGAGAUCUCGCCACUGCACUCCAGCGUGGGUGACAGAGCAAGACUCCAUAUCAAAAAAAAAAAAAAGUAGGGGUGAGGGAGUUUAGAAACGUGUGACCUCCUCCACCUAUGACUCUACUUCCAUGAGAAAAAAACAUGAAGCUUUACAAAUGCAGAAUUAAAGCAGAGGCUCAUGUGGGCUCAUGUGAUGAAAAUGUUAGUGUCUGUCUACCAAGCUGUGUGAGCAAGGUAGAAACAGGUCUGCUUUGCAGAAAAAGAUGACGUACCCCCAGGAAUGAGCAACAAGUAGAACUGAGGUUUACCCCAGCGUUUCCCUUCCCUUCCCUUUUGUUUUCAUAUAACAAACAUUUGUUGAACAACUAUAGGGUCCUCAGCUAGCUUCCACAGAAACUUUACAGCAAAUUCAGAACAGAUUUCCAUUUUAGAUGGAGAAGUUAGAAUUAAUAUGUUGUUAGAUUGCAA